This is a long non-coding RNA of Ceratitis capitata (Mediterranean fruit fly), 370 nucleotides long. RefSeq lists it as uncharacterized. The record is from RefSeq and is a predicted model, not a curated record. The transcript is spliced from 2 exons. Lineage: Eukaryota; Metazoa; Arthropoda; Insecta; Diptera; Tephritidae.
AUAACAACAAAAAGUGUAUAAUAAAAGCUUUUUCUGUGAUUAAUUGACCUACAUCCACAACUAAAGCCAGUAAAACUGCGAGGCAAUGACGCAUCUAUACAAAAGGGUGGCCGAAUUGAGAAAUAUUCAACAACAUGAUUGGAGGCUAAAAUUCAAAUAGUGACUUUUUAGUAGAAAUUAAUCAUUUCAUUCAUUGUCAUAAAGUAAUUGUUGAGUAUAUUAAUUAACCUCACCGUGACUUGUGUUAUCUCACGGUAGCCUACAUAGUAUAAAUAAUAAAACCUUAAUAGACAGAGGUGCACACCAUAAAUGCGGUUACAACGACAACAACAACAACAACAUAAAUGAAUUUGACUUUGAAAAUGACCUG